UGCUGAGCAGCCCAGCACCGGGCAGGAUGAGGACUCCGGUAAAUGGAGCAACACGGAGCAGAGACACGAAGGUUGGAGGAGAGCGCUCAGAUCAGCACCGCCAGCCCAUCCCCGGCCGUGCACACUGCCCACGUCCCGCAGCGUCACUCGGAAGGUUUCCUUUUUGUUCCAUGGAUCCGUUCAGUUCCCUGCUUUGUUUUUAAAGAGAAAAAAAAAAGAGAAAAUCCUGUCAUUAAUAAAUAAAUAAAUAACAAGAAUAAAAAGCCUCC
RNAcentral lists this long non-coding RNA (269 nucleotides) under Gallus gallus (chicken). RNAcentral's name for it is "lncRNA (ENSGALG00010028625.1)". Lineage: Eukaryota; Metazoa; Chordata; Aves; Galliformes; Phasianidae. The record is from RNAcentral.